Long non-coding RNA from Peromyscus californicus insignis, 3376 nucleotides. RefSeq lists it as uncharacterized. The transcript has 3 exons. NCBI's taxonomy places the organism in Eukaryota, Metazoa, Chordata, Mammalia, Rodentia, Cricetidae. The record is from RefSeq and is a predicted model, not a curated record.
CAAUCUCAGGAGCCUCACAUUCCUCAAGACAAACGCUGUGCUAGGGUAGAGAGGGUCAGCAUUAUUCCUGCUGUGGUUUCAUUACCUCCACCCUGGGGAAACUGGAUCCCAGGAUGAAAACGGGGAUAUACCCAAGAUGUACACAAUAAAGGAGUAAGAUGGUCGAAGAGUAAGCCAGCCUUGGUCUGAUGGGGAAAAUGAAGAAAGAUGUUAAAAGCGAAAAGGACAGGACAUCAGAGCCUGCAGAUGUGACUGAAGGGCAAAGAGGCAAAAAAGUGGUGAGGAGGAGAGAGGUGGGUCAGGCGGCUUUUAAAGGACCAGGUGGACCUCGGAAGGAGAUGGGUCGUGUUACCAAGGACAGCUGCAAGAGACCUCCAGGCACCAAGUCCAAGGACUAAGUCAGCAGUGUUCAGCUUCCCUCCCCUCCCCCCAUCUUGUCUUCUUCCUCCUCCUCUUUCUCCUCCUCCUCCUCUUUUGAGUCAGAGUCUCAUUACAUAGCCCUGGCUGGGCUGGAGCUCACUCUAUAGACCAGGCUGGCCUUGAACUCAGAGAUCCACCUGCCUCUGCCUCCCAGGUGCCAGGAUUCAAGACGUGUACCAUCGUACCCUAUUUGGUCUGUACUCUUGUUCUUGGGAUAUGUUGUUUGUUGUGGGGUACUUACCAGAGAAGACUGCUUGGACAUGGGUUUAAGAAAGUCUUUAUUAGCCAGCCAGUGACUACACUGGGUGUUCAGGAUCUCAGUGUAGCCCUGCGCCUUCCUCACGAUGAGCCUGUCCUGGGAUGACAUACUUCAGUUAACAAGAAUAGUUAGCCAGAAGCGGAACUACAGAAGCCAAAAAACAAUAUUAGUACAUUUACAGACUUUCCCAGAACUCUGGACUUGGAUGGAAUAGGCCUUUGUUUUUAUUUUUGUCAGGUGGUGCUGUCUACGAGCUGAGUUUUACAGCCUGAGUGACACUUCCAUCAUGGAGUCAGUUGUGCUAAGGUCUGAGGCCCUGUUGCAGUGUGAGCAGAAAUAAAGCAAAAACAGGAGAGAAGAAAGUGCCCAGGUAGAAAUGGUUUACAAAAUGACGCACAACCAGUAAAGUCUUUGCUUGGUAAAUGACAGGGUUGCAGAUGUCGUUUGAAUGUUUCUCUAAAACUAACACAUGGCCUGAAUCAUUUUGAACAGUGAAAACAAACCUUAACGGUGGAACUGAAUCCUGUGUAUCAAAUGCUACGCACCCCUGGUUCACUCAGCGACAGUGAAUAAUGCUUGUAAAAUGCCUGCACCACACCAUAUUAACAUGGGGUUGAUGAAGAGAGUCGCUUGCUGAGAGAGAGCCAGGAAAGUAGAAAAACAGAGAAGCAAGCUGUAGCCAUUCUGUCAACAACCCAAGGACUUCUGGGCUAAGCCCUUAGCAGGCCUCUGGGCUCCCAUGAGGAGCCAGGGAGACUAGUUGUCCACAAGGGGGCGGUAUCUAGCCAAUCCUCAGCCCAGUAGCUGAAGGAAGUUGAGUGACAGAGGUCAGAAUUCAAGGUCAGCCUGGGCUACAAGAGACCUUGACUCUUAGGAAACAACCAACCAAACAAAAAUAAACAGAGGGUGGUAAGAUUUCUCUAAACCAGAAAACCCUCUGACUCACAAGCCUAUGGCCAUACUACCAGCUCAGCCCUUCCAGGUCAUCCCUAAAGACAGAAAAGUCCUGCCCCCAGGCAAAGGUCUCUCUAGGGAAGGACGCUAGGCUGUUAUGUCUGAAGCUGAGAGUCGGGACAUCUUCAAAUUCUCAGAUCUGAACAAAUCAGGAAGGUGUCCCUACCUCCUCCUAAAUCCCGGCUCCCAAAUCGUCAUCUUGACCAGGAAAGAAAACGAAUGAUCUGACCAGCGCCCCAAGGGAAAUAAAAGAUUAUCACUCCGACAGCAGUAAAACAUGAACACGUGUGCGCCCCUUUUCCCUGGUGUGUAACUGGCAUCUGCACACAGACACACACUGCACUUGUAGAAUUGGGGUUCUGAUUCUGAGGCUUUGGGAAUUACCAGCAGGGGCGGGUGUCAAUUCAGAUCGGGUGCCCUUCUCCACAGAGUGUCUGCAGUAGUAGGGCUGGAAGCAAGCGAGCCUGAGACCUGGCGCUUCUGUGUUUUGGGAGGUGUUGAUGCUGUUUGGUGGAGAGUGGGGUUAUGCUGAUGAUGGUAUAGGACUUGUGUGUCUAUUUCCUACUUUCUCAUUAGCUUUGGCAUCUUUAGAAAUAAACCUCCCCCAAGGCUGAAGAAGAAACUCAAGUGAAGAGAGUCCAUCCUAAGGAUAAUUCCUGAUAUCCGUACUUAAUCCUUGUAACUCCCAGGAAGUAGGCAUCCUUAUUUCCAUUUCCAAAUAGGAAAGCAAAAAUCUCCAAAAGGCUGGUGAAUCUUGGAGCCUGGAUUUGAUCUUGGUCAAAGUUCCUGCUGGACAUUCUAGCUCCAGGGUAAAGAAGCUGAUUGACUGAAAUAAGGAGAGAGAACGUGCAAACGUAAGUGAUUUUUCAGCGAAAGUGUAAAGGCAAGCACUGUAGGAAAGCUUGGUAAUGACAAUCAGGAUCAGAGGCACACGGGAGGCUGCCCUGGUGUAACAGGAAAUGCAUAGCUCCUGAAGAGACCUCCGUGUCAAGCAGAGCCCAGCGGGCAUUUGAGAUGAUGUCGCUGCUAGAGUCCUGACCUGCCUCACAGAAUAGAACACUAUGCAUUAUUUAGACCAGAACGUCCUUUCUAUUUUUGCAUUCUGAAGAAAAGAGUGUUCAUGGCAAAGGCUGUUGGGUUUGUUUUUUGUUUUGUUUUUAAGCUUUUAGUAGAUCAGAAUUCCCCAAGCUAUCUUUCCUUUAAAUGAUGAAUCCAAAGAGUGGAAAAACGGAUGUUUAAGUGCCCAGGAAACUGAUUAACACAUUUCACGGUAUUUAGAUUUCUGCCUCUAAAUGAAAACAAUACCUUUUUAUUAGUCAAACAGUGGACAUUUGGGUUCUGAGGUUUGAGUUUGGUGUGUGUGGACAGGAGAGGGUUCUAUAAACAGCAGGGCAUUACCAGGAAAUCUAGCUUUUGUGUAAAAUAAUCUUGAUAUCCAAAAUAGAUGUGUAUCAGUCAUGUCUUAGGUAAUAAGCAGUCUUUUCCUUAUUAGCAAGGGUCAAUAUGAAAAGAAAUCCAGUUCUGAUGCAUUCCAUUACACAGAAUUUAACUCAAUCUACAGAUCUUUCUCUGUGCAAUUCAAGCAUUACCUUCAAGAGACUUGUAAUUUAAACUGGGCCUGAUGGCACACCUGUAAUCUUGUCACUGGGGAGGCGGAGACAGAAGGAUGACAAGUCAAAGACUUACCUGGGCUGCACAGCAAGACCCUGUUGAAGGAGGAAGGGAGGAAUUUCAUCUGAAAAG